AUUGACCAGGAGAAAGAUGUUAAAAGAUAGAGUAUUCUAAAGGAAGAUGAAAAAAGGAUUGCAUUUGCUAUGGAUUCAAAUGUCGUUUAAACACCUCUCUUGUUAUGGAGAAAAUGAAUCCUGAAAAACAUUUUACAAAAAGAUUUCAAUCCCAUCCCUAGCAAUCAUCUGGUUUGCCACAGCCCAAAUGUCUCAUUAGCAAUCUGAAAUUGCACACGGUUGGAGAAAAUAUAGCAAGAGGAUAUAGACACUGCCAUGGGGAAAAGAAAAAGAAAAAAGGAAAAAAAGCAACUGUGACUAACUCUGCUUAUGUAAACAAGGAAUGUCUUAGUGGAAUACAUGUAAGCUUUCUCCUGAAGGAAUCCCAGUUAGAAUACCAUCAGAAAUAGCAAACCCAUUUCAACAUCACAGCAGUAAUAUAUGCCAAUUUUAUUAGCACUGAGGCACAAAGCCACAUUUGUCAGGGGGAAAGGUAAACAAAAAUUCCCAACACUGCAACUGAUAAAGCCACCUUUCAAGAGCAGUUGUUGAGAGAGAAAUUUAAAAGGUAGUAUUUUUGUCAUAACUAUAGUAAUGUCUAGUAAUGUCUCUGACUUCCACCUAGGGACAAAAUUACUUUUACUUCUCCCAUUAUAAGUUUUUAUAUAGAGCUGAUAUUCCACAGCAGUAGGCAUCCUAUUUUUAUAUUUUGUUAAGUACCUCUCAUUUAAUUUGACCCCCAUUUCACAUUUGAUUAGAAAAUCCUAAACUGGAAACAUAGAUUUUUCUGCCUUUUUAAAAAACAAAUCUGCACCAUAAGCAUUUUCUAGAGAUGACUGCCUUAAGCCAUCCUGAUAGCCCUGUCAAUCAGUGACAGGUGCGUGGAUUAAGGCGCGAACCUGUAAAUGGACUGAAAUUUCCUUCUGCACCAGGAGCUGCCUCUUCACACAAACUCAUGUCUCUUCUUCCUCAACCCCUUGUGCCAGCCCAGCCUCUUGAACUGACCCAGGUCCACCUGUCAGUCAAAAGAACCGCAACUUCUAAUUACACGUGUUGACAGCUUGUCCAACUGAAUUUCGCAUCGAUGGAAUUUCACGGAGUGCCUUUAGUGUUCUUGCUUCCUCUUUACUCCUUUAUAUAGGUCCUUGCAUUAGAUGGACUUUAAAAAGUAUUUUACUAGAAAAACCCAACAUAAUUUUGUGUUCGGGGAAGAAACUGUGAACAACCUUAGCUAUUAUAAUCACUCUGAGAUAAUAGGGACAAGAAUUUCACCUGUGUGGCAAGAGGAGCCAUUUAAUACUAUUCCUAAAAUAAUAUUCUCUGAAGAAAGGCCAUAGAGUCUUCCUGAAAUAGUUUUUUUGGGACUCAAAUCUAAUACUGUAUAAAAGGCACAUUCCCUUCAGAGGAAGGUCAUAGGUUAGAGCAUGAGUUUGUGUCACAUUUUACAUGGAUUUGCUGCAUAUGCAAAUAUAGGACUUAAACUUUGGAAUCUCUGUUUCUCAAAAAUUAAACUGGCACCAGUGGAAUCUGUCCCUUGACUACAUUAUAAGAAUGACUUGGGAAAAAUCCAAUACUGAUCUUCACAUUCUAAAUGGAAAAGCUUUGUCCUGGGAGCACAAAUAACUGGUGUGUUUUAAAAUAAGCUGCUACAGGGGUUCUUAACACCUGGUCCCCAACAAGAAAGCAGAAGCAGCAACUUUGAAAUUUGAUAGGUGUCUAAAUUCUCUGGUGCCACCUGAGGCCCUAACUCAGACCUACGAAUCAGAAAUUCUGGGAGUGAGCCCCGCACUGUGGGUUUUAACAAGCCCUUGGGAUGGUUCUAAAGUUAUGUUCAAGUUUGCAUGGUCAAGAAAAAUUCAUGUCACGCACAGUUUAACUCUGUCUCCUCAUAGGAAGAAGCUUUAAAGCUUAAAUGAUCAGUUCCACCUAGGCCCAGCCCAUUCUGAUAUAUGGACAGAAAUAUCCACCAAUCCAAUGUAAAAUACAAUUUAAAGGAAAAUUGAUCCUAACAAACACUCCUUACUUGUGUAACUGAGCUUCAGGCAGGAUCUCCAAUCAAAGAGAUUUCAGCUUUUCUAGUUCUUUUCUUUUCUAGUUCUUUUUUAAAACCAACAGCUAAUCUGCUUUGCCUGACUGCCCAGGGUCUAGAGAAUGACCUUGGACACCUGUUUCUUGAUUAGCUCUGGCCCAUUUGCCUUAAUGCUAAACCGACAUUUAACAGAACCGAGUUAUAGUUAAUGACAAGGUCUACUGGUUUGAAGAGAGGGUGUGGACAGAACUAAAACGACUGCUGAUUCUAAGUGAGCUUUGGUUUUAGGAGAUAGUUUCAAAGGCUCACAUAGCUCAUAAAAGCUGGAAACCACAGACAGAGUAGACAUCAAUCUCAAGACCCCUGGGAGCUUUUUCCUAGGCUUAUUUGAAUUGGUGCAGAACCAGACUGGAGAGCCAGCAAGUGAUUUUGCUUCUAAAAAUGGCUUAAGUAAGGGAGUUUAAGAUAGUAGGUUACGUGUGUGUGCAUAUGUGUGUAUGCUUCCUUAAAUCAAACCUGAAAAUAACACAUUAACAGCUACUUCAAACAUCCAUAUGUAUUGUGGCCCCUCCUGUUGAUCCAGAAAAGUAAAUUCAAAGUUGGCAAAAAAGAGGCCUCAAAUAGAAUCUCAACAGUAAUAUUUUGAAGAAAAAUGUUAAACUAUCUUUCCAGGUCUCCCUUAGAAGGAGUCAGACUGGUCAGAUACCUUCACAUGACUGCUAUUUUUCAGGAAUUACUGAAAAAGAUAAUUGAUAUAUCAUAAUGUUCUACUUGCUUCUCUAAAAUCUGUCGACCUGGUCAAAGUUUGAGCAUUUGGGUGUCCCAUCCCAUGUUCUGCCUCUGACAGCUUUUUCUCACUGGCUCUUCCCUGAUGUGACCUGACCAUCACAUAGCCCCAGCUAAAGCACAGUCUCUCCAUCCUCUGUCCCCACCCCCAUGCCCAUCUCCAUCUACAUAUUGUCUUUCAUUCAAAGUUAAAGGCUCACUGAGAAGAUACUUCUUAGAAUAAUCACCAAAUGUCAAGAUGCUUAUUGAGGGGACAUGCACUUUUGUAGGGGAGGGGCUGGAUCACACUGACUGGGACUCACUCAGGUCCAGCAACUUGACCUCUCUUCCAAAACUUUGCAGUCCACAAGGCCAACUUAUAGCGGUGGCUAGCCUUUGUCCACAAUCCUUGGUUUUUAAAGGAGUUCCCACUGAGGCGCAAAGGGAUCGGCAGCAUCUCUGCAGCACCAGGACACAGGUUUGAUCUCCAGCUGGGCAUAGCAGGUUAGAGGGUUCAGUGUUAAGUGUAGGUUGCAGCUUCAGCUCAGAUCUGAUCCCUGGCCCGGGAAAUCCAUAAGCCAUGGGGUGGCCAAAAAAGAAAAUACUCUCAGAAAGCUUAGGAAAAUAAGUUACAUCUUCUAAGGCCCUUUUAACCUAUAUGGUACCUUAAAAAGGCCUUGACAUUAGAAGGUAACAGAUAAUCUCCUGGCAGCUUUUGCCUUUCAGUGCCAUUCACAGUGAUUUUCACAGGCCAGUGGUGCAAUUUAACCCUUCUAAUAAGCCAUAAUAAUAGUUGUUGGCACAACUGUUAUUACAAUGGGGACUUCCCUGGAUUUCAUCUAUUAAUUUGCGUAGACAGUAGGAAGCUCACACUGAAGAGACAUUUUGAGCUUCCUAGAUGAGGGCAACAGAAGGAACCAGGACCUUGUACAGACUGUAUAUCUGCACAAAACAUAGCUUCAUGCCCUGGGAGUGCCCUGUGAGGGGCAGGUGAGAUGGGAGAAUUCAAGGAGGAAACAUUUAGAACAUCUCCUUUGUCUUUGAUCACAAUUCAUUCCCACUGAAUAAGCUUGGUGGAUACUUUGAUAGUGAACUUAACUCCUUCUAGCUAGCACAACAGGCAAUCCUUAAAAAAAAAAAAGGGAGGCAGGACAUUGUGUCAAAGGUGCCUCUUCCUGAGAGGUGACAAUUAAUUCCCUGUAAGAGACAGAAGAAAAAAAAAAAAAAAAAAAGACGCACCUAUUCACAUUCUGUAUGCUCAGUGUAAAGGACCCACCACAAACUCCCCAGACAGAGAGGGGGAGGAUGGAAAGACGAGGGGCAAAAACGCAGACAGCAAUCCUAACGUUCCUCUAGUUGACCCCGAAGGUGUUCACAUGUCUAAAGCUAUUUUUUAAAUCACUGCAUUUUGAAAUUUCUGAGUAGUGAUAUGUCAGUUUUACAUUUGAAUGCUUAACUGACUUUUUCCAGGUUCUAUUCUUCCAUGCCGAUGAGUGUAAUCUCUAAGACUUGCCAUUUUGAGUACAUACACACCACCACACACACACACGUAGACACACACAGACACACACACAAAGGUAAAUGCGUUACAGAUUAUUCAUUUUGUGGGAAACACAAUGUAUUAUAACCAAAAAGAUUCUAGUGGAUUCUUUCAAUGUAUUUCAGUGAUAAUAUUUUGUGGGAAAUAAAGGUAUUCAUACCUUCUCUUUGUUGACCAUCUUGUUGAAUUUAUGAUCUUAAGCAACACUGUUAAAAAUGUCUGUGUAAAAUAUCAAUGAAUCCAUAUUCCUUGAAUUUGACUUUCAAAAAAAAUAUGUGCUAUUUUUUUCUAUCUGUGGUGUUUUCCUAUUAACCUGUAGUAGUGAGCAAGUGAGUGAUAAUCAUCAAAAAGGAAAAUGGCCUACACAAAAUGUUAAAAGUGGAGGAAGUUAUUAUAGGCUUCUGCCAAACACCAUUGUUUCAUAAUCUAGAUUAACUUUCUUCCAUGAUUAUAAGAAAUGCUCACUCACCCUGUCAUCUUCUGUCUUUUGAAAAUUCAUAUUUUGUAUUUCUAAGGGCCAAGGAAGAUGUUUUUUAAGCCAAUGUAAUACACAGGCACCUUGGAAAGGAGACAUGCAAUGACUUGGGUCAACUACAUAAGGGCAGGUUAGCAUUCCAACAUCUGAUGGCAAAUUUAGCACUCUUUCCUAUAAUCCUUAUAGUGCACUAAAUUACAUUUGGGGAUUUCAGCUGCUCUUUUCAAAUUAAAGGCACCAACAUUAACAAUAGAUCCCAUCUAACAUGGAGAGGUAUUAAAACAUUCUCGUUCAAGCACCUUAAGUGAGUGGAAAUUACCGUCUAAUUUCCCCACCUCACCAUCUCAUGUAAAUUAACCUGGAGGUCUAACAGUGUCACAUAGAAGGUUAUGAGACUACGCAGACUAUGAGAUUUGUGCAGUUAGCAAGAACUAGCCAUUAAAAAAAUAUAUUCAAAUGUUUUGUACAUAAAAUUUUCGAUUCCUAUAGUUUUGUUCAAACUGCUGUCUUUUAAAAUAAUUAGAUAUUAUUUGAAUUUUAAAAAUAAUCUAAGUUAGAUGUUGCUUUAUGGACUCUGUAAUUCAAUGUACACUCAGCCAUAUUCCUGUGGGAAAACAUCAAUCUUACUGACUUUCUUGGCAUGAGCCAGAUCUUCAUAGAUUCUUUAAGGACUCUAAGUAUGAGACAUAAAACGAAACAAAACAAACAAAAAAAACCCACCAAAAUUAAAUGCUAGUGAAGAAAUUAGAAACCUAUUGUAUAAAAUGUAUUUUUAAAAUCUUAAGAUAUAUGUGAUUAACACUGCCUGUUAAUCCAGUCUCUUUGUGAAAUAACCACAGCAUAAUAUUUGUUAAGACUCUUAAACACCAAAUAUUUGUGAUGUUUGUAUAGCACCAUUGUUAUAGCACGUGAUUUCCAAUGGUAAGCAUCUUUGUUGUAAUCAUGUCAGCCCACAGAAGAAUUUAUUCUGCUGUUAUGUACAACCAGCUCUCAGAAUUCAGAUUUCCUGCAGCUGCUGUAUCACCAAUAAAUGAGAAUUAAUUGUGAAAACAGUUUUUAAAGAAUUGAGUUUAUGAUCACUGUGCAUUUUCCUAAUGAAUGAAUUCAGAGAGUUUUAUUUUUACCAGAAAUGCUCUCUCUCAGUCAGUAAAUACAACUGCUGAUUUCAACCGUACUAUGAUUUCAAUGGUUUCUAUAUUCUUGAUCUAACUACCAAAAACCAGAAGCUUGUUUCAAGAUGCGUCCUAACAAAUGUAUAAUAAAUGACUUUUCCUG
RNAcentral lists this long non-coding RNA (6063 nucleotides) under Sus scrofa (pig). Its description in RNAcentral is "lncRNA (ENSSSCG00050026027.1)". The record is from RNAcentral. Lineage: Eukaryota; Metazoa; Chordata; Mammalia; Artiodactyla; Suidae.